CCUACGGGUGGCUGCAGUGGGGAAUAUUGGACAAUGGGCGAAAGCCUGAUCCAGCCAAGCCGCGUGUGUGAAGAAGGCCUUCGGGUUGUAAAGCACUUUCAGUGGGGAAGAAAGCCUUGGGGCUAAUACCCUCGAGGAAGGACAUCACCCACAGAAGAAGCACCGGCUAACUCCGUGCCAGCAGCCGCGGUAAUACGGAGGGUGCGAGCGUUAAUCGGAAUUACUGGGCGUAAAGCGCGCGUAGGCGGUCUGAUAAGCCGGUUGUGAAAGCCCCGGGCUCAACCUGGGAACGGCAUCCGGAACUGUCAGGCUAGAGUGCAGGAGAGGAAGGUAGAAUUCCCGGUGUAGCGGUGAAAUGCGUAGAGAUCGGGAGGAAUACCAGUGGCGAAGGCGGCCUUCUGGACUGACACUGACGCUGAGGUGCGAAAGCGUGGGUAGCAAACAGGAUUAGAUACCCCAGUAGUC
Molecule: ribosomal RNA, 465 nt
Filed under: Vreelandella stevensii
Lineage: Bacteria; Pseudomonadati; Pseudomonadota; Gammaproteobacteria; Oceanospirillales; Halomonadaceae
Description: partial 16S ribosomal RNA
Rfam family: Bacterial small subunit ribosomal RNA
Source: RNAcentral